RNAcentral lists this ribosomal RNA (275 nucleotides) under uncultured prokaryote. RNAcentral describes it as "partial 16S ribosomal RNA". It matches the Rfam family "Bacterial small subunit ribosomal RNA", at positions 524 to 798 of the family's 1533-position model. The record is from RNAcentral.
UACGGAGGAUCCGAGCGUUAUCCGGAUUUAUUGGGUUUAAAGGGUGCGCAGGCGGGAGAUUAAGUCGGCGGUGAAAUUUUGCAGCUCAACUGUAAAAGUGCCUUCGAAACUGGUUUCCUUGAGUGUAGAUGAAGUAGGCGGAAUUUGUGGUGUAGCGGUGAAAUGCUUAGAUAUCACGAGGAACUCCGAUUGCGUAGGCAGCUUACUAAACUACUACUGACGCUCAGGCACGAAGGCGUGGGGAUCAAACAGGAUUAGAUACCCUGGUAGUCCCU